Molecule: long non-coding RNA, 674 nt
Organism: Hydractinia symbiolongicarpus
Lineage: Eukaryota; Metazoa; Cnidaria; Hydrozoa; Anthoathecata; Hydractiniidae
Exons: 2
Source: RefSeq, a predicted model, not a curated record
GCCGUGUAAUUUUUUACAUUUCUAAAAUGGCACCUUGAGCAGCUAUAUAAACUGCUACUGCUUAUUUAUUUUGUGUACCCUCCAAAUGUUUUAACCGUUCAUAUGGAAAUUGGUAGAACCGUUGGAAAUUGUUAAAAAUAUGUUGCCAUUGUUACGUCAGCGUGCAGCAAGAUUAAUUAUACUUGAAAAAAAUGGCGUCAAAUACUAUGACAUAUUGAAAACUGUUUUCAAUAAACGAAGAAAGUUUCCAAAUUGUUGCAUAUUUUUUCCAUAAAAGCCUUCUUGCUUGUCAACUACAGUGUCGGACCAACAAUACGUACGAAAACUCAUUUGCAAUCCUGUUUUUAUGCAGCUACUUGUAUUAUAGGAUGACAGAUUUAUGUAAAUUGACAGGUAGACCUAAUUGCAACGCACGACAUGGUCUACAGACGGUAUCCUACAUUGGAGCAAAUUUGUGGGAUGUGCUUCCGGUAUAAAGGAAGCUGAAAGUAUGAACUCAUUUUCUUCACAGCCUGAAGUCUUAUUAUUUUUAUUAGAUCUAUUUAUUUUUAUAUCGUCAAUUUAGCCAAGUGUAGUCGUACUCUUCUAUCAAAUCCUAUACAUGACUUCAUACAAGAGGUGACAUUUCCAUUUGUAUCCUUUUAAUUGACGUUAAAUAAAUUUAUGUCUGUUUA